RNAcentral lists this non-coding RNA (28 nucleotides) under Cricetulus griseus (Chinese hamster). The record is from RNAcentral. Lineage: Eukaryota; Metazoa; Chordata; Mammalia; Rodentia; Cricetidae.
AAACAAAUCGGAUUCAUAACUAUGCAGG